This 407-nucleotide ribosomal RNA is filed under the name uncultured bacterium. Its description in RNAcentral is "partial 16S ribosomal RNA". It matches the Rfam family "Bacterial small subunit ribosomal RNA", at positions 30 to 526 of the family's 1533-position model. The record is from RNAcentral.
AUUGAACGCUGGCGGCAGGCCUAACACAUGCAAGUCGAGCGGAGCGGCGGACGGGUGAGGAAUGCCUAGGAAUCUGCAUGGUAGUGGUGGAUAACGUUCGGUAACGGGAGCUAAUAACGCAUCCUAUCAGAUGAGCAUAGGUCGGGUUAGCUAGUUGGUGGGGUAAAGGCCUACCAAGGCGACGAGCCGUAACCGGUCUGAGAGGAUGAUCAGUCACAUGGGAAGUGAGACACGGGCCAGACUGCUACGUGAGGCGGCAGUGGGGAAGAUUGCACAAUGGGCGAAAGCCUGAUCCAGCCAUGCCGCGUGUGUGAUGAAGGCCUUCGGGUUGUAAAGUACUUUCAGUCUGGAGGCGUUACCCACAGAAGAAGCACCGGCUAACUCCGGGCCAGCAGCGGCGGUAAUAC